This 448-nucleotide ribosomal RNA is filed under the name uncultured bacterium. RNAcentral's name for it is "SSU rRNA". It matches the Rfam family "Bacterial small subunit ribosomal RNA", at positions 26 to 518 of the family's 1533-position model. The record is from RNAcentral.
AGGAUGAACGCUGGCGGCGUGCCUAACACAUGCAAGUCGAACGCCUGUAGCAAUACAGGAGUGGCGCACGGGUGAGUAACGCGUGGGAACCUACCCUGGAGUGGGGGAUAACCGAGGGAAACUUCGGCUAAUACCCCAUACGACCUGAGGGUGAAAGAUUUAUCGCUCUAGGAGGGGCCCGCGUCGGAUUAGCUAGUUGGUGAGGUAACGGCCCACCAAGGCGAUGAUCCGUAGCUGGUCUGAGAGGAUGAUCAGCCACACUGGGACUGAGACACGGCCCAGACUCCUACGGGAGGCAGCAGUGGGGAAUAUUGGACAAUGGGGGCAACCCUGAUCCAGCAAUGCCGCGUGAGUGAUGAAGGCCUUAGGGUUGUAAAGCUCGUUUCGGCGGGGACGAUGAUGACGGUACCGCAGAAGAAGCCCCGGCUAACUUCGUGCCAGCAGCCGC